RNAcentral lists this ribosomal RNA (267 nucleotides) under uncultured bacterium. RNAcentral's name for it is "partial 16S ribosomal RNA". It matches the Rfam family "Bacterial small subunit ribosomal RNA", at positions 335 to 598 of the family's 1533-position model. The record is from RNAcentral.
CCACCUACGGGGGGCAGCAGUGAGGAAUAUUGGUCAAUGGACGGAAGCCUGAACCAGCCAAGUCGCGUGAGGGAAGAAGGCCCUGCGGGUCGCAGACCUCUUUGGACGGGGAGCAAGGCCGCCGACGUGACGGCGGAAGGAGAGGACCCGUAGAACAAGCAUCGGCUAGCUCCGUGCCAGCAGCCGCGGUAAUACGGAGGAUGCGGGCGUUAUCCGGAUUUAUUGGGUUUAAAGGGUGCGCAGGCGGCACGGCAAGCCGGGGGUGAA